This is a long non-coding RNA of Gasterosteus aculeatus aculeatus (three-spined stickleback), 402 nucleotides long. Lineage: Eukaryota; Metazoa; Chordata; Actinopteri; Perciformes; Gasterosteidae. The record is from Ensembl.
CACAAACUCUCUCACACUUGUGUUAAACAUUUCUGAUGUUGUUAAAAGGAGACACCGCUCUCGUUAGUUGUGAUUUAAAGUCUGUCUCACCGUCUGUUCUCCAGCUCUGGAACGACGAUCCAAAUGGCCGAAAGGCACGAUCGAAUCUCCCUUUCACCAAACUUUAUUGACACGAAUCGCUCCUCGGCUGCCUGGCUGCUGAUAAACAAACAACUGCUUCCCCACCAGGCGCCUGCUGCGUGUCGCCUGUUGUUGGCGAGAGUCGAAGAACAAGAGCCCGACUUAUUCCGGAGCCACGUGACCACAGGGCUGCACGUGAAACCGCGCCGCACGGACAAGAGCGCACGCCUCUCCUCCACCCUCCUCCGCCCGCGCCCCCCUUGUGAUCGUUGAAACGGAAAG